ACACGUAUCCAACCUGCCGUCUACUCUUGGACAGCCUUCUGAAAGGAAGAUUAAUACAAGAUGGCAUCAUGAGUCCGCAUGUUCACAUGAUUAAAGGUAUUCCGGUAGACGAUGGGGAUGCGUUCCAUUAGAUAGUUGGUGAGGUAACGGCUCACCAAGUCGACGAUCGGUAGCCGGACUGAGAGGUUGAACGGCCACAUUGGGACUGAGACACGGCCCAGACUCCUACGGGAGGCAGCAUG
This 242-nucleotide ribosomal RNA is filed under the name uncultured bacterium. RNAcentral's name for it is "partial 16S ribosomal RNA". It matches the Rfam family "Bacterial small subunit ribosomal RNA", at positions 113 to 353 of the family's 1533-position model. The record is from RNAcentral.